CGCGGCCUAUCAGCUUGUUGGUGAGGUAACGGCUCACCAAGGCAUCGACGGGUAGCUGGUCUGAGAGGAUGAUCAGCCACACUGGGACUGAGACACGGCCCAGACUCCUACGGGAGGCAGCAGUAGGGAAUAUUGCACAAUGGGCGAAAGCCUGAUGCAGCAACGCCGCGUGCGGGAAGAAGGCCCUAGGGUUGUAAACCGCUUUCAGCAGGGAAGAAAAUGACGGUACCUGCAGAAGAAGCUCCGGCCAACUACGUGCCAGCAGCCGCGGUAAUACGUAGGGAGCGAGCGUUGUCCGGAAUUAUUGGGCGUAAAGAGCUCGUAGGCGGUUCAGUAAGUCGGGUGUGAAAACUCAAGGCUCAACCUUGAGACGCCACUCGAUACUGCUGUGACUUGAGUCCGGUAGAGGAGUGUGGGAUUCCUGGUGUAGCGGUGAAAUGCGCAGAUAUCAGGAGGAACACCAGCGGCGAAGGCGGCACUCUGGGCCGGUACUGACGCUGAGGAGCGAAAGCAUGGGGAGCAAACAGGAUUAGAUACCCUGGUAGUCCAUGCCGUAAACGUUGGGCACUAGGUAUGGGAUCAUAUCAACGGAUUCCGUGCCGUAGCUAACGCAUUAAGUGCCCCGCCUGGGGAGUACGG
Molecule: ribosomal RNA, 639 nt
Filed under: uncultured Actinomycetes bacterium
Lineage: Bacteria; Bacillati; Actinomycetota; Actinomycetes
Description: bacterial SSU rRNA
Rfam family: Bacterial small subunit ribosomal RNA
Source: RNAcentral